CUCCCUGUCUUUCUCUCUUGCCCCCGCCUUGCUUUUCUCCUUGAUGUCAUAUUAUCAUCAUCAUGCAUUCAUUGAACUUGUUUGUUGUUAAAGAUGUAGUUGUAAAAGGGUUAGUUCUUGUAGCUCAACAAGUAGAGCAUAACUCCAACAAUGCCUUGGUCAUGGGUUCAGUUACCAGGGGAUGCAUGAACUGAAAAGAUGGAUGCUUUGAAUACAAUAAUGGAAGUCAAUGUUACCAACAUUCAUCAAUGUCUUCUUUUAUCUUCUGCAGAAGAAAGCAAGCUAUAAAGAGCCGAAUCAUCUGCAUAAGAGAGGAAGGAUUACAGACAAACGGCACUCAACCGUGACAGGAUAAGGAGAAAGGAGGUAUCAGACUAUUAAGCCACAGAUACACACACACACAUACACAGAAGUCCAAAUAUAAUCUGACUCACUUAGAGAUUCUUUAUUGCUGCAGUGUCUUUGUCCUUCAAAUUUGAUCUUUCCUUGU
Rhinichthys klamathensis goyatoka is the source of this 490-nucleotide long non-coding RNA. RefSeq lists it as uncharacterized. The record is from RefSeq and is a predicted model, not a curated record. The transcript has 3 exons. Lineage: Eukaryota; Metazoa; Chordata; Actinopteri; Cypriniformes; Leuciscidae.